CAAGUCGAACGGGCCGCAAGGCCAGUGGCGCAAGGGUGAGUAAGGCGACGGUAACCAACCCCAGGAUUGGGUAUAGCCGCGGGAAACCGCGGGUAAUCCCCAGCGACGCAACGGCACCGGCAUCGGUGCCUUGCCAAAGCUUCGGCGUCGUGGGACGGGCUGUCGUGGUAUUAGCUUGUUGGCGGGGUAACGGCCCACCAAGGCUCUGAUGCCUACCGGGCGUGCGAGCGUGGCCCGGCACACUGGGACUGAGACACUGCCCAGACUCCUACGGGAGGCUGCAGUCGAGAAUCUUCGGCAAUGGGCGCAAGCCUGACCGAGCGACGCCGCGUGGAGGAUGAAGGCCUUCGGGUUGUAAACUCCUGUCGAGGGGGAAAAAGGGUCGCAAGACCUUGAUUGAUCCCUGGAGGAAGCACGGGCUAAGUUCGUGCCAGCAGCCGCGGUAAGACGAACCGUGCGAACGUUAUUCGGAAUCAUUGGGCUUAAAGCGCGUGUAGGCGGACUCGUGCGUCUGUCGCUGAAAUCCCCCGGCUCAACCGGGGAAGGGGCGUGGAUACGACGAGUCUGGAGGGGCAUAGGGGGACCUGGAACUUCCGGUGGAGCGGUGAAAUGCGUUGAGAUCGGAAGGAACGCCCGUGGCGAAAGCGAGGUCCUGGAUGCCUACUGACGCUGAGACGCGAAAGCCAGGGGAGCGAACGGGAUUAGAUACCCCGGUAGUCCUGGCCGUAAACGAUGGGUACUGGAUAGGGGGCUCGCCGAUGGGCUCCCUGUCGUAGGGAAACCGUGAAGUACCCCGCCUGGGGAGU
RNAcentral lists this ribosomal RNA (806 nucleotides) under uncultured Planctomycetia bacterium. Its description in RNAcentral is "bacterial SSU rRNA". It matches the Rfam family "Bacterial small subunit ribosomal RNA", at positions 58 to 881 of the family's 1533-position model. Lineage: Bacteria; Pseudomonadati; Planctomycetota; Planctomycetia. The record is from RNAcentral.